This 450-nucleotide ribosomal RNA is filed under the name uncultured bacterium. Its description in RNAcentral is "bacterial SSU rRNA". It matches the Rfam family "Bacterial small subunit ribosomal RNA", at positions 354 to 796 of the family's 1533-position model. The record is from RNAcentral.
GUCGAGAAUCUUUCUCAAUGGGCGAAAGCCUGAAGGAGCGACGCCGCGUGGGGGAUGAAUGGCUUCGGCCCGUAAACCCCUGUCAUUCGCGAGCAAGAUCUGCUAUUUAAAAGAUGGCAGGUUUGAUAGUAGCGGAAGAGGAAGGGACGGCUAACUCUGUGCCAGCAGCCGCGGUAAUACAGAGGUCCCAAGCGUUGUUCGGAUUCACUGGGCGUAAAGGGUGCGUAGGUGGUGAGGUAAGUCUGGUGUGAAAGCUCCGAGCUCAACUCGGAAAUGGCAUCAGAAACUACCCCGCUAGAGGAUUGGAGGGGGGACUGGAAUUCUCGGUGUAGCAGUGAAAUGCGUAGAUAUCGAGAGGAACACCAGUGGCGAAGGCGAGUCCCUGGACAACUCCUGACACUGAGGCACGAAAGCUAGGGGAGCAAACAGGAUUAGAUACCCUAGUAGUCC